GGCUGAUGGAUGGCCAUCGCCGACUACCCUUCCUUGUGAACGCCACAGCAAUGAGACCCAGCUAGAAAAUGGAGACCUCUUUGAGCUAUUUCUUGCCUUGCUGGGGAUUGAACCCAAGCCAUUUUAUAUAGUAGGUGGACUAGGGCAUUAGGUUGAUUAAGAGUCUUCAGGAUCUUGUAACACAGAAGAAUGUCACUGGAUGGACCAACACCCAACUGGC
Molecule: long non-coding RNA, 220 nt
Organism: Mastomys coucha (southern multimammate mouse)
Lineage: Eukaryota; Metazoa; Chordata; Mammalia; Rodentia; Muridae
Exons: 3
Source: RefSeq, a predicted model, not a curated record